RNAcentral lists this long non-coding RNA (1327 nucleotides) under Helianthus annuus (common sunflower). The record is from RNAcentral. Lineage: Eukaryota; Viridiplantae; Streptophyta; Magnoliopsida; Asterales; Asteraceae.
UGAAAUCUCUUCCUCUCUCAUCUGAUGGGUGUCGGUUUCAAUAAUUGGUGGAGAAAUAGCAAGUGUUGAUUGAAACUAAAGUGGUAGGGUUUUGAAUAGGUGGAGAAUUGAGAGGUUUGUGAUGAGAAUGAGAGGAUGAAAUUAGGGUUUAGAGAGUACACGAGAAACCAUCCACACACGCUUCCUAGUCCGUUGGUAAAAUGCUACCUUUACAUGUAGAUAGAUAGAUAUGGAGUAAGGACGAAAGCUGGUAAGAAGCAAUCAUCAGAAGAUGCUGUUGUCAAAAAAAUGCACAUUCUGCAGGAGCUUGAAUUCGACGGCACAAUGAACUUGCCUUAAAUAAGGCAACAACACCGGAAGCUUGUAGGCUUUACGUCAUGAUUACUCUAUGAAGGUGAUUAUUAGCACUUGUUUUGUUCUGAAGCAAACAUAUCUCAUGCAUUCACAUUUUGUAAGAAUGUCAUGAUUACCUGGCUAUGCAAGAUGUUUAUGCCUGGAGAUUAGCAUAGCAGCACUCUGGAUUUUGGAAGGUUAUAUCAUUCCCCGUUGAUGCAGUGACAGAUACAUAUGGAACAUUUCUACCUGAUGGAACAGCUUUACAGCUUCAGCAGAUUCUGAGCUUAAGUGUUUUAGAGGAUUCCCGAAUCACCUCUUGCGACACAAGCAGUCCAGGUGGUGACAGCAACGGUGCCGCAUCCCAAAGCCAGUACGCCAAAGGAGAUGUUCUUACCAGAGCCUAGAAAAGACGCAAUAUCUUCAUGCAACUUUAAAUGAACUGUUCCAAUGGUAUGCAAUUGCAAUCUCAGAUAUCGCAAUCUCUCAUACCUUGUCUUAACCGGACCUUUGACUAAUCAAAAUGGUUACUUAGGCUAAAGGUUGUGGUCAUGACCCUCCACAUAGGCGUCAUGUCACCCACCUCUAAUCCACCAUCCAAAACCACUACCCUAAGGGUGUGGUCAUGACCCAAACCAUUAUCCCUCUUUAUUAUUUUAAUAUAUUUUUGUCUCAGAGUUAUCAAAUAGAGGGUGUCUCUCAUGGAGCAUAGACCGAACAAGUUACUAUAGGACUGGUUUAGUCACCAUUCGAACUGGUCUCUUUUGAUUUAAGUGCAUUUAACCGGCCGUCUCUGUUGGUUUUUACACACUAUUUUUCACCCUCUUAUAUAGUCAUAUAUAGUCAAAUUACCAAAUUACACUUUGUUUGGAGUAACAACCACUUUUUACUUUUAUAAACUCAAAAGUUCCUAUGUAAGUUCUAACAACAAAGUCGAUUAACCCAACUUAAGUAACAAUUAUCCCUACUGUAUUAUCAUAAGAUGAUAUAUCAU